RNAcentral lists this long non-coding RNA (490 nucleotides) under Physcomitrium patens. Its description in RNAcentral is "long non-coding RNA (PPAT_LNC011905)". The record is from RNAcentral. Lineage: Eukaryota; Viridiplantae; Streptophyta; Bryopsida; Funariales; Funariaceae.
AUGAAGGCGUGGAAGGUAUUCAUGCAGCAUUCUCCCUCUUCCUCGUCCUCCUCCUACCCAAUUGAAACCCACUCCCAGUUGCCUGCCUUUGAUGGCUGGCGCUUGACGAUUAGGCUCCACAGCGAGUGCCUUGCCACUGCCGCGCGUGGGCGGUUGGGCGCGUCGCAACGGCAUUGAUUCGGGAAGAAGCUGGCUGUGAUUCCACGUCGGAUGUUAUUACUGCCCAUUCAUUGACGAGGGCAUGGGAGUCGUAUUUGUUGUGGCCCUAAUUACCGUGUGUGUGUGUGAGUUGUAAUAGCUUCCAGAACAGAAGCUUCUAGAAAAGAAAACAAAAAAAGAAAACACAAAAAACACUCUUUCUGGUCACAUGACAAUGUGGGUUCAUGACUAAAUUUUCCCCCUCACAUAUGCUGUUUGUAUUCCUCAACUUUGUGUAUUGAUUCUUGUGUUAUUAUAAUAAUGGUAAUAUGAGACCAGGAUUGGAGAUUAC